This 831-nucleotide long non-coding RNA is filed under the name Prunus persica (peach). Its description in RNAcentral is "long non-coding RNA (PPER_LNC002461)". Lineage: Eukaryota; Viridiplantae; Streptophyta; Magnoliopsida; Rosales; Rosaceae. The record is from RNAcentral.
GGGAGUGUAAGUGGAAAAAAGGGGAGUGGGAAAAUCAGCUACCUUUUUUUUUUAUUGCAUCUAAUAUGUAUCUAUUUUAUGUUAGUUCUUACUAGAAAUUAGUCAAUGUAGCUAUGAAUUGCAUGGUUUAUAUGAUUUAGCUCAUUUGGUACACCGUAUUAAACUAUGGAUAGGAGUAAAUAGUCCAUGUCAAGUGUUUAGUGUUAACUUGUAUUAUUUAAUUACCUGACAAUUUUAAACGGGUUGGGCUUUUAAUACUCUCCUUACCUGACUAACUAAUACAAUCCACAUACCUCGGUUUAGAUCAUACAUGCUUAAUUAUAUAGUUAGGGAAAAAGAACACACAUGUUCACGUGAAAAAUCUGACGACACUAUUUUCAUUUUCUUCUCCUUGGGGUUCUUCUCUGCUAUCUUCUCCAAGGUUAUUCUCUUCACUCUUCUCCAGGUAUUAAUCUCUCUCUUUCCAAUAUAUUUUUUGUCUCUUCUUCUGGCUUCAUCUUCUCUUUCUUUAUAUAUUUCAUCUUUUAUUAAAUUUUGUGGAAAUUAGGUUAUGAGUUUUUUAUUUUUGACAUUUUUUCUUCUUGUAUUGGAACAAUACAUGCGGCUAUGUAUCCAACUCUAUAAUCAAAUAAUCAAAUUAUCAUCAUCUGGCUGUGUAUCCAACUCAAGACAUGCCGCUGAGUUUUUCUUGCAUUUUUUUCUUUAUAUAUUUCAUCCUCUCCAUCUAUCAAACUCAAUAAUCAAAUUAUCAUCCCAAGUCUGCGAUUAGAACAAUACAUACGGAUGUUUUCUUGCUGUAUUUUUUUCUUCUACUUUUGGUGCUUUGUUUUU